UGGAGAGUUUGAUCCUGGCUCAGAAUAAACGCUGGCGGCGUGUCUUAAGCAUGCAAGUCGAACGGCAAGAAAGUGCUUGCACUUUCCUAGAGUGGCGGACUGGUGAGUAACACGUGGGUGACGUACCCNUUGGACGGGGAUAGUCGGUAGAAAUACCGGGUAAUACCGGAUAAGGUCAUAUAAGUUGGAGAUAUAUGAGGAAAGUGGCUAUGGCCACGCCGAAGGAACGGCCUGCGGCCUAUCAGCUAGUUGGUGAGGAAAAGGCCCACCAAGGCGAUGACAGGUAUCCGGCCUGAGAGGGUGAACGGACACAUUGGGACUGAGAUACGGCCCNGACUCCUACGGGAGGCAGCAGCUAAGAAUAUUCCGCAAUGGACGAAAGUCUGACGGAGCAACGCCGCGUGGAUGAUGAAGGUCGGAAGAUUGUAAAAUCCUUUUAUUAUUGAAGAAUNAACUGUACAGGGAAUGGUAUAGAGGUGACAGUAGGUAAUGAAUAAGCACCGGCUNAUUACGUGCCAGCAGCCGCGGUNACACGUAAGGUGCCAGCGUUAUUCGGAAUUAUUGGGCGUAAAGGGCACGCAGGCGGUUAUGCAAGCUUGGUGUGAAAUACUGGGGCUUAACCCCAGAACUGCAUUGAGAACUGCAAGACUAGAGUCAGUGAGGGGAAAUCGGAAUUCCAGGUGUAGGGGUGAAAUCUGUAGAUAUCUGGAAGAACACCAAUGGCGAAGGCAGAUUUCCAGCGCAUGACUGACGCUCAGGUGCGAAGGUGCGGGGAUCAAACAGGAUUAGAUACCCUGGUAGUCCGCACAGUAAACUAUGUACACUAGGUGUCCGGUCAUNAGACUGGGUGCCAAAGCAAACGCGAUAAGUGUACCGCCUGGGGAGUAUGCCCGCAAGGGUGAAACUCAAAGGAAUUGACGGGGGCCCGCACAAGCGGUGNNNNNNNNNNNNNNNNNNNNNNNNACGCGAGGAACCUUACCUGGGUUUGACAAUACACACUGAUUAUCAAGAGAUUGGUAAGCGUAGCAAUACGAGUGUGAAACAGGUGCUGCAUGGCUGUCGUCAGCUCGUGCCGUGAGGUGUUGGGUUAAGUCCCNNAACGAGCGCAACCCCUACUGCCGGUUACUAACAGGUAAAGCUGAGGACUCAGGCGGAACUGCCUGCGACAAGCAGGAGGAAGGCGGGGAUGACGUNNAGUCAUCAUGGCCCUUAUGUCCAGGGCUACACACGUGCUACAAUGGUUGGAACAGAGUGAAGCGAAGCGGUGACGUGGAGCAAAACGCAAAAAACCAAUCGUAGUUCGGAUUGGAGUCUGAAACUCGACUCCAUGAAGUUGGAAUCGCUAGUAAUCGCAUAUCAGCACGGUGCGGUGAAUACGUUCCCGGGCCUUGUACACACCGCCCGUCACACCAUCCGAGUCGAGGAUACCCGAAGCCGGUAGACUAACCGCAAGGAGGUCGCUGUCGAAGGUAUG
This 1474-nucleotide ribosomal RNA is filed under the name Treponema pectinovorum 8:A:33768. RNAcentral describes it as "16S ribosomal RNA". It matches the Rfam family "Bacterial small subunit ribosomal RNA". The record is from RNAcentral. Lineage: Bacteria; Pseudomonadati; Spirochaetota; Spirochaetia; Treponematales; Treponemataceae.